AAGUUUUAAGUUAAGAUUAAACUAGUAACCUUCAAAGUUAAAUAUAUAUUUAUAUUUUAAACUUUGUAUACU
This 72-nucleotide transfer RNA is filed under the name Calophya schini. RNAcentral describes it as "tRNA-Trp". The record is from RNAcentral. Lineage: Eukaryota; Metazoa; Arthropoda; Insecta; Hemiptera; Calophyidae.